RNAcentral lists this long non-coding RNA (1273 nucleotides) under Sarcophilus harrisii (Tasmanian devil). RNAcentral's name for it is "lncRNA (ENSSHAG00000032133.1)". The record is from RNAcentral. Lineage: Eukaryota; Metazoa; Chordata; Mammalia; Dasyuromorphia; Dasyuridae.
GAGGACUGGUAUGGUACAAAAAUGUAACCAAAAUUUUCAGAUACUACAUUUUUGAAAUGGGAUUAGGAAACAGUGUAUUAUCAUAACCCAGCUGUAGAAGAAUAAAGGUCUUUAAAUUGAAUGUUGCCAAAUUAAAUUGCAUAGUAAUCUUUAUAUAUUCUGGUAAUGUUAAAUAUUAGCUGUCAUUUAAUUGUUCUAAAGAAAAAUAAUAGUUGGUAUAUUUGGAAUUUUUAGGUUAAGUUUGUGUGCAAAAAUCCUCGUGUAAAAUUAAGUAAAACCGUUUUCCAAAUUUUGACUGGGUUGCCAUGAUUUUACAUUUUGGGAGGAAAAAAAACUAAUUUGAAAACUUUGCAGAUUUCUUUGUAUAUUUAUUUUUUCUAAUGGUUAUUUAACUAUUCAGUUAAAAUUAAGUGGCUAAACCAUUCAUAAUGCAAAAGGUGGAAGGAUUGCUUGGUUGUACAGUAAAAUGCAGUCUUUCAGUUAUACCAUUAAAAAUAAUGAAGUGUGUGUGUGUUUGACCUUUAACAAGGAUUAAUUUAAAAGAUCUCGUUGCUUUUGAAGGCAAUCAAUAUCAGAUAUGUAAUUUCCUGAUGUUAUCUGCAUUGUGUUAAAAACAAUAGUAGCAUUCAUCUAAAAGUUCAUUUUCUGUAAAAAUAUAUACAGAUAUACAUAUAUAUUUUUAUGGUGUGUACAGUAUAAAGCUAUGAAUUCAUAAGAAUGACCCAUAUACCAUCUUGGAGUGUAUAACAACAUUUCUCUAGUUCAGUGUGUGGGGAUUCUAACUCUUGAGCAAAGAAAUGAGUAUUUAAGGUCUUUUCUGCAGCACAUAUUCUUUCUGUUCUGCAAACACUGUAUAUUUAUGACCUUAAGCUUACAGUUUUACUAGUAACUGAUAGACACUGGUUUCUUAAUGAAUCAUGAAUUAUUUGGGUCAGGUUCUUUUUAAUUGAAACAACUUUCAAAUUUUUAUUAGUAAUACAAUAUAUAUUUAAAUUUUAUAUUUUUAUAAUUUUGCUUCACUGUGUUGCAAAGGUUUAGUUCAAAAGAUAUAAGUCCUUAUCUUUUGUGUGUUUUCUGUUUAAGAAAAUGUUCCAAGACAUUGAUACCAACUCUUUGUGUGAUCGUGCUCACAAACACACACACAUCCCAAGUUGUUCUACAUGAGCAAUAAAACAGUCUCGUUUUUUGGAAUAAUUUCAUAAAUUAUGACUUGUUACAUGCAUGUAAUAUAUAAAAGCUAUCUGUAUUUUUAGUUAUCUAUAGUGAAAUUCAC